CCUACGGGAGGCAGCAGUGAGGAAUAUUGGUCAAUGGUCGGGAGACUGAACCAGCCAAGCCGCGUGAGGGAUGAAGGUCCAGAGUAUCGUAAACCUCUUUUGUCAGGGAACAAAGUCGGGGAUGUGUCCCCGGCUGAGUGUACCUGAAGAAAAAGCAUCGGUUAACCCCGUGCCAGCAGCCGCGGUAAUACGGAGGAUGCGAGCGUUAUCGGGAUUUAUUGGGUUUAAGGGGUGCGCAGGUGGUCUGUUAAGUCAGCGGUCAAGGCCCGGGGCUCAACCCGGACCCGCCGUUGAAACUGGCAGUCUCGAGUGGGAGAGAAGUAUGCGGAAUGCGCGGUGUAGCGGUGAAAUGCAUAGAUAUCGCGCAGAACUCCGAUUGCGAAGGCAGCAUGCCGGCUCCACACUGACGCUGAGGCACGAAAGCGUGGGUAUCGAACAGGAUUAGAUACCCCAGUAGUC
This 459-nucleotide ribosomal RNA is filed under the name uncultured bacterium. RNAcentral's name for it is "partial 16S ribosomal RNA". It matches the Rfam family "Bacterial small subunit ribosomal RNA", at positions 338 to 795 of the family's 1533-position model. The record is from RNAcentral.